Small nucleolar RNA from Panthera tigris altaica (Amur tiger), 125 nucleotides. NCBI's taxonomy places the organism in Eukaryota, Metazoa, Chordata, Mammalia, Carnivora, Felidae. The record is from Ensembl.
AGCCUCCUGGUGCGUAUGAGGCUAUGUUCUUACACUGUAUAGAAAGAGGAGGCAGAGUAAACCCAUCCAUAAACAUCUCAGCCCAGGCCCUUUUCCUGGUCUGUAUUGUGGCUGGGNGGGGGGGG